UUUUUAUUUUUUUUUAAAUAGAAGAAUUCAGAAAUUUAAAAAUGUUUUGUUUAAUAUUCACUUAUGGAGAUACGCAUUUUACCCCUUUCUAUUUCCUUCGAUUUUGAAAUAGAGAAAAAUAAGCAACUCAAUUUUGAUGUCAGGAGUAAUGCUAGGAAUUCAUGGCACACAAUCAGUCCUUGAAUCUUCGUGUUCAUUCCUUAUGGAGGAGCUUUAAUUACUUGGGGGAAACUUGAAAAGGGUUCAGAGAGUUGGAAACUUCUUGUCCAAUCUCAAGACAAUUGUCCCAAUUCAUUCUUCAUCCAUUUUAUCUAACAAGGCCUUUUCUAGUUUAUCUAAUGCAAGUUCAGCUUUACCUCAAGUCGUUUGCUCAACUUCUCAAAUUAAUACGCUAAGCUCUUCCAAAAGUGAGCACACACCAUAUCAAGAAGCAGUCUCAGAAUCUGUCAAGUGUGAAGAAAGAGCAGUGAAUGCUAGUUCUACAAAUGGUAGAGUAAUGCUCAUAGAUGGCACAUCAAUCAUUUA
This is a long non-coding RNA of Hevea brasiliensis (rubber tree), 525 nucleotides long. RefSeq lists it as uncharacterized. NCBI's taxonomy places the organism in Eukaryota, Viridiplantae, Streptophyta, Magnoliopsida, Malpighiales, Euphorbiaceae. The transcript is spliced from 3 exons. The record is from RefSeq and is a predicted model, not a curated record.